RNAcentral lists this ribosomal RNA (552 nucleotides) under uncultured archaeon. Its description in RNAcentral is "bacterial SSU rRNA". It matches the Rfam family "Archaeal small subunit ribosomal RNA", at positions 326 to 879 of the family's 1478-position model. The record is from RNAcentral.
CGGGGUGCACCAGGCGCGAAAACUUUACAAUGCUGGCAACAGCGAUAAGGGGACCUCGAGUGCCAGGUUACAAAUCUGGCUGUCGUGAUGCCUAAAAAGCAUUGCAUAGCAAGGGCCGGGCAAGACCGGUGCCAGCCGCCGCGGUAACACCGGCGGCUCGAGUGGUAACCGUUAUUAUUGGGUCUAAAGGGUCUGUAGCCGGCCGGAUAAGUCUCUUGGGAAAUCUGGCAGCUUAACUGUCAGGCUUUCAGGAGAUACUGUCUGGCUCGAGGCCGGGAGAGGUGAGAGGUACUUCAGGGGUAGGGGUGAAAUCUUGUAAUCCUUGAAGGACCACCAGUGGCGAAGGCGUCUCACCAGAACGGACCUGACGGCAAGGGACGAAAGCUAGGGGCACGAACCGGAUUAGAUACCCGGGUAGUCCUAGCCGUAAACGAUACUCGCUAGGUGUCGGCCACGGUGCGACCGUUGUCGGUGCCGUAGGGAAGCCGUGAAGCGAGCCACCUGGGAAGUACGGCCGCAAGGCUGAAACUUAAAGGAAUUGGCGGGGAGCAC